This 555-nucleotide ribosomal RNA is filed under the name uncultured bacterium. RNAcentral's name for it is "partial 16S ribosomal RNA". It matches the Rfam family "Bacterial small subunit ribosomal RNA", at positions 355 to 900 of the family's 1533-position model. The record is from RNAcentral.
UGGGGAAUUUUGGACAAUGGGGGAAACCCUGAUCCAGCCAUCCCGCGUGUGCGAUGAAGGCCUUCGGGUUGUAAAGCACUUUUGGCAGGAAAGAAACGUCGCGGGUUAAUACCCCGCGAAACUGACGGUACCUGCAGAAUAAGCACCGGCUAACUACGUGCCAGCAGCCGCGGUAAUACGUAGGGUGCAAGCGUUAAUCGGAAUUACUGGGCGUAAAGCGUGCGCAGGCGGUUCGGAAAGAAAGAUGUGAAAUCCCAGAGCUUAACUUUGGAACUGCAUUUUUAACUACCGGGCUAGAGUGUGUCAGAGGGAGGUGGAAUUCCGCGUGUAGCAGUGAAAUGCGUAGAUAUGCGGAGGAACACCGAUGGCGAAGGCAGCCUCCUGGGAUAACACUGACGCUCAUGCACGAAAGCGUGGGGAGCAAACAGGAUUAGAUACCCUGGUAGUCCACGCCCUAAACGAUGUCAACUAGCUGUUGGGUCCUUCGGGGCCCUUGGUAGCGCAGCUAACGCGUGAAGUUGACCGCCUGGGGGAGUACGGUCGCAAGAUUAAAAC